RNAcentral lists this unclassified non-coding RNA (187 nucleotides) under plant metagenome. Its description in RNAcentral is "partial contains small subunit ribosomal RNA and internal transcribed spacer 1". The record is from RNAcentral.
AAGUCGUAAACAAGGUUUCCGUAUGGUGAACCUGCGGGAGGAUCAUUAAAGAAUAUCGAGCUUCACAAGCUCUUAUUCUCACCCUUUGUAUAUCAAACUUUGCUGCUUUGGCAGUCGCCUUUUAGGGCCUGCCAGAGGACCGAAACCCUAGAAUCUCUGCCGUCUGAGUACUAUAUAAUAGUUAAAA